UAAAUAUAUAUUCACACUAACAAACGCCCGGGUAUUACGAGCCUCAGCUUAAAACCCAAAGGACUUGACGGUGUCCCAUCCAACUAGAGGAGCCUGUUCUAUAAUCGAUAACCCCCGAUACACCUAACCCCCCCUUGCCAAUCAGCCUGUAUACCUCCGUCGCAAACUUACCAUAUGAAUGCCAAUAGUAGGUUAAAUGGUUAAAUCACCAACACGUCAGGUCAAGGUGCAGCUCAUGAUGGGGAAAGCAAUGGGCUACAAUUUCUAAAAUAGAACACACGGAAUGCUGCAUGAAACACAGCCACGAAGGCGGAUUUAGUAGUAAAAAGAAAAUAAAGUGUCCUUUUUAAUAAGGCCCUGGGACGUGUACACACCGCCCGUCACCCUCUUCAACAGCACACAAUACGUUCCUAACAACUCUUGCACUUUAGAAGAGGCAAGUCGUAACAUGGUAAGUGUACCGGAAGGUGCACUUGGAUUAA
Molecule: ribosomal RNA, 482 nt
Filed under: Limnonectes kuhlii (Kuhl's wart frog)
Lineage: Eukaryota; Metazoa; Chordata; Amphibia; Anura; Dicroglossidae
Description: partial 12S ribosomal RNA
Rfam family: Bacterial small subunit ribosomal RNA
Source: RNAcentral